This 83-nucleotide transfer RNA is filed under the name Beauveria bassiana ARSEF 2860. Its description in RNAcentral is "tRNA-Und (NNN) (tRNA-Und-NNN-7-1)". It matches the Rfam family "tRNA". From Rfam's summary of the family: Transfer RNA (tRNA) molecules are approximately 80 nucleotides in length. Their secondary structure includes four short double-helical elements and three loops (D, anti-codon, and T loops). Lineage: Eukaryota; Fungi; Ascomycota; Sordariomycetes; Hypocreales; Cordycipitaceae. The record is from RNAcentral.
ACCUCUAUAGUAUAGUGGUUCUAUACUAGGGAGUUCUAUAUAGGUUAGUAUAUGGAUCGCGGGUUUAAAUCCCGCUAGAGGCA